AGUGAACGCUGGCGGUAGGCCUAACACAUGCAAGUCGAACGGCAGCACAGUAAGAGCUUGCUCUUACGGGUGGCGAGUGGCGGACGGGUGAGGAAUACAUCGGAAUCUACUUUUUCGUGGGGGAUAACGUAGGGAAACUUACGCUAAUACCGCAUACGACCUACGGGUGAAAGCAGGGGAUCUUCGGACCUUGCGCGAUUGAAUGAGCCGAUGUCGGAUUAGCUAGUUGGCGGGGUAAAGGCCCACCAAGGCGACGAUCCGUAGCUGGUCUGAGAGGAUGAGCCGAGACACCGAGAGGAAGAAACGGUCGAGAAUACUACGGGAGGGAGGAGUGGGGGAUACAGGACAACGGGGGAAAGGCAGAACGAGCAAUGCUGGGUGAGCGAUGAUGUUCGUAGGGUAGUAAAGCACUUUUAUACGCGACGAUACUGACAGUACCGGAAGAAUAAGCACCGGCUAACUUCGUG
RNAcentral lists this ribosomal RNA (467 nucleotides) under uncultured bacterium. Its description in RNAcentral is "partial 16S ribosomal RNA". It matches the Rfam family "Bacterial small subunit ribosomal RNA", at positions 30 to 507 of the family's 1533-position model. The record is from RNAcentral.